RNAcentral lists this long non-coding RNA (250 nucleotides) under Mytilus galloprovincialis (Mediterranean mussel). The record is from RNAcentral. Lineage: Eukaryota; Metazoa; Mollusca; Bivalvia; Mytilida; Mytilidae.
GACAAAUAACACAUUCAGAUUUACAUAUAUGUAGUUGGGAGGGGAAACCUCCAUUCAAAAUAAUAUAUAUAUCCAAAGUUACAGAAGUUUGCUGAGCAUUGCUCUUCAAAGGCUUUUUCAAAACACUACAACAAUGGAUUUAAGUUGCGAUAUGAAAAGAUCACACUUUACGAUCUACCAGUUAUACACACACCAUGCGAUUUGUGUAAUAGAGAUAUAAGUACUAAACAUGAGAUUGAGAGCAUGUUAA